GUUUCAAUUCCGCAUGUUAAUGAAACUAAAGAUUUAUCGGAAACGGAUAGGCUCGCGUGACAUUAGCUAGAUGGCGGGGUAACGGCCCACCAUGGCAACGAUGUCUAGGGGGUUCUGAGAGGAAGGUCCCCCACACUGGAACUGAGACACGGUCCAGACUCCUACGGGAGGCAGCAGUGAGGAAUAUUGGUCAAUGGUCUGACGACUGAACCAGCCAUGCCGCGUGAAGGUGACGGCCCUAUGGGUCUUAAACUUCUUUUUGUAAGGGAGCAAUAAGGUCUACGUGUAGUCUGAUGAGAGUACCUUACGAAUAAGCAUCGGCUAACUCCGUG
RNAcentral lists this ribosomal RNA (332 nucleotides) under uncultured bacterium. RNAcentral describes it as "bacterial SSU rRNA". It matches the Rfam family "Bacterial small subunit ribosomal RNA", at positions 173 to 507 of the family's 1533-position model. The record is from RNAcentral.